RNAcentral lists this unclassified non-coding RNA (348 nucleotides) under soil metagenome. Its description in RNAcentral is "partial contains 5.8S ribosomal RNA, internal transcribed spacer 2, and large subunit ribosomal RNA". The stretch from base 1 to 120 matches the Rfam family "5.8S ribosomal RNA", at positions 35 to 154 of the family's 154-position model. The record is from RNAcentral.
GAUGAAGAACGCAGCGAAAUGCGAUAAGUAAUGUGAAUUGCAGAAUUCAGUGAAUCAUCGAAUCUUUGAACGCACAUUGCGCCCGCCAGUAUUCUGGCGGGCAUGCCUGUCUGAGCGUCAUUUCAACCCUCAUGCCCCUAGGGCGUGGUGUUGGGGAUCGGCCAAAGCCCGCGAGGGACGGCCGGCCCCUAAAUCUAGUGGCGGACCCGUCGUGGCCUCCUCGGCGAAGUAGUGAUAUUCCGCAUCGGAGAGCGAUGAGCCCCUGCCGUUAAACCCCCAACUUUCCAAGGUUGACCUCAGAUCAGGUAGGAAUACCCGCUGAACUUAAGCAUAUCAAUAAGCGGAGGA